Molecule: ribosomal RNA, 486 nt
Filed under: uncultured Pseudomonas sp.
Lineage: Bacteria; Pseudomonadati; Pseudomonadota; Gammaproteobacteria; Pseudomonadales; Pseudomonadaceae
Description: bacterial SSU rRNA
Rfam family: Bacterial small subunit ribosomal RNA
Source: RNAcentral
AUUGAACGCUGGCGGCAGGCCUAACACAUGCAAGUCGAGCGGCAGCACGGGUACUUGUACCCGGUGGCGAGCGGCGGACGGGUGAGUAAUGCCUAGGAAUCUGCCUGGUAGUGGGGGAUAACGUCCGGAAACGGACGCUAAUACCGCAUACGUCCUACGGGAGAAAGCAGGGGACCUUCGGGCCUUGCGCUAUCAGAUGAGCCUAGGUCGGAUUAGCUAGUUGGUGAGGUAACGGCUCACCAAGGCGACGAUCCGUAACUGGUCUGAGAGGAUGAUCAGUCACACUGGAACUGAGACACGGUCCAGACUCCUACGGGAGGCAGCAGUGGGGAAUAUUGGACAAUGGGCGAAAGCCUGAUCCAGCCAUGCCGCGUGUGUGAAGAAGGUCUUCGGAUUGUAAAGCACUUUAAGUUGGGAGGAAGGGCAGUUACCUAAUACGUAUCUGUUUUGACGUUACCGACAGAAUAAGCACCGGCUAACUCUGUG